ACCCCUCAAAACAAUAACCUAAAAAUUUAGAACAUAUUUUCAAUAAUAUAAAUAUCAUUCUACCAUAUUGUGCUUUGUGAAAACAUACAGUAAUAACAUAAUUAAAUACAAUAUUUAGAUAUAAACUGUGCAUGAUGAUGAAUUCUUUGUGCGGCUCCUUCUGGUUGUGUGCGCUUUGGCCACCGGAGGGCAGUAUAAUACAGACAUACGGAUAUACACGAAGGAGACGGUCACAGAUGCUCAGUAGGGAGGAGAGUGCUUUGCUGCUCCUCAGAAGCUGUCACGCCAUAGCAUCCCCUCCAAACAACAGAGCCACAAGGACAUCACUCCCCACAAGCUUGGCUUGGAGCUGUGUUGCGUGUGGACAAAGAAGCUCUUGGGAAUGAUAAGGACGGAACAGGAUAUCAUAUAACUUGGCAGCAUGUCCUUGGGCCUAUACAACAGCAAAGGCACUCUUCCAUCCCUUAGUUGUAUAUGUAUAUUUUAAUACAUGUACAAAUAAGCAACUCGAGCGACCUCAAUUUCUAUGAAUAACAAGAUGUGGCUUUGGAAGUGAGCCCUGGCUUCUCUGCGGACACUGCAGUGCAGCUAUAUUGGAACGUCUUCCCCUAAUUCCAGAGUCAAUGGCGAGCUUGUGCGAAGUUUGUGGAACUUGUCCGGAUGCCAAUUGCAACACCCAGCGCCAUCAAUACUGCUCACCUCAGCGAGGACUCCCCCGCUUUCUCUUUUGUUUUCUUACAAACAAACCCCGGGCGUGUUAGUUUGAGUAAAUAAUAAUCAAAAUGAUUGUAUAUUAGGAAUGUACGUGUAAAUAAGUCUCCAAUAACACAACAAUAAGUCGCUAGAUUUGCUGCGAGUCACUUUUUGAAGUUGAUGCCAGAGGGCUUGGAAAAGGCACCUUUUCACACUGCACUGAGCACAGCGCAUUGCACCGUGAACCAACCCAUUCAUUUUGUAUGUGCUUCAAUGUAGUGCUGCAUAGGCUGGUGGCGCACGAGGUGGCAGUGACAACAUCUCAGCGCAUCCAGUAGGAGAGAUGGUGUCAGAAUGUCAUACAGUAAAUUGAUAAAGAAGGCAGGGCAAUGGAUGAAGAUCUUCACUACUUUGAAUUAUAGAAAUGUGUGGUUUUAGCAUUUUUAAUGAUAAAAAUGUUUGCUUUGUCAUGUGCUUCGCUUGCUCCUUAUUAUAAGCAAAGACAGGGCCUUCCGUUGUCACAGUAACAAACACAUAUUGCCGAGCUGCAUCCAAAGCCAAACCAGUAGGAAAAGGCACUAGGCUCCUUUCUGUCUGGUCGCUUGGCAACCACAGUCAAAUAUGGGCAAGCCUGUGGCGUGGCCACUGCAAAAACCAAGUGCAGUGUGCAAGCACCUCAAGUUGGCAAAAAUGAGUAGCCGCUCGCUUCGCCGCAACACCCCGGCUUCACAACCCUGGUCACCGUAACAAAAGCAGUACUUUGCAUUUGGAAGAUACAGAACCGCCAUCCCAAAACUGUGUGAUUUACACCAGAAAAAAAAUGCAAUUGCUACAAUAAUGGUGGUGUUUUGAACGCAAUUUAGUCCUUCACAAAAACAGAUCACAAUGUGAAUUAAUUUAUCAUGAAUGUUUAUUAACCCGGCAGGCAAUGUACAAUUUUACAUUUUAAACCACCAUACAAGUGUAAAAAUAAGUUACCCACUGUAUAAUGAAAACAAACAACUGUUAAAAGUAACCUUUGUUCAAUGUGUCGGAAAGACACCUAAUGGAAGGGGAACAAGGUAUAAUUAGCAUUUAAUACAUACAUGUAUCAUGUAUACCUAUUAUUGGAAUUUACUAAAUUAAUGUGUUAAUAAUUGAUAAUAAUUGGAUUUUAUACAUACAUGUGUUACUCCAAAUGUAAUUAAUUCAUAAUACAUUCGAUGCAUUUUUUUGAUAGCUUAUUUAUUUAGUUAGUUUGGCACUUUUGGAUUUGGAUUUGGACCUCGACAAGAGGGCAGUGCUGAAUAGGUAUUGAAAAAAGAGAUGCUGCUUUUAAUGUCUCCGCUUGAUUUAAUUUUGACUAGCGAGGUAGCGAAUACUUUACGUUUUCUUGUUUUAUUUUGACUUUGGUGUCCAUCCAUGUUUGAACCCAUUCACAAAUUGACUCACACGCUAAAUCCACGUUACGGAGGGACACGAGAAGCAGUCAAACUAUGAGAUUAUGUUUCCAUUACAAUAAUUUUAAAUUUAUUCAAUUGUUACUCGUGACCUCUGGAAUGUUUCGGGUUUUUUUUGUUUCAGUUUAUUUAUCCGUGUUAAUUUUUGUUUAUGCAACAUGUAACGUGUAUUAUGAUAAUGUUUGUUAAAACUUUUAAAUAAAGAUUGGAGGAGGACUAAAAGUCCUGAACGCAA
This is a long non-coding RNA of Phyllopteryx taeniolatus (common seadragon), 2367 nucleotides long. RefSeq lists it as uncharacterized. The transcript is spliced from 4 exons. The record is from RefSeq and is a predicted model, not a curated record. Lineage: Eukaryota; Metazoa; Chordata; Actinopteri; Syngnathiformes; Syngnathidae.